This 252-nucleotide ribosomal RNA is filed under the name uncultured bacterium. RNAcentral describes it as "partial 16S ribosomal RNA". It matches the Rfam family "Bacterial small subunit ribosomal RNA", at positions 524 to 776 of the family's 1533-position model. The record is from RNAcentral.
UACGGGGGGUGCAAGCGUUGUUCGGAAUUAUUGGGCGUAAAGGGUGCGUAGGCGGUCCUACAAGUCAGAGGUGAAAGGCUACGGCUCAACCGUAGUAAGCCUUUGAAACUGUAGGACUUGAGUGCAGGAGAGGAGAGUGGAAUUCCCAGUGUAGCGGUGAAAUGCGUAGAUAUUGGGAGGAACACCAGUUGCGAAGGCGGCUCUCUGGACUGUAACUGACGCUGAGGCACGAAAGCGUGGGGAGCGAACAGG